GUUGGCUUGGAAGCAGCCAUUCAUUUAAAGAGUGCGUAACAGCUCACUAGUCGAGCGGUCCUGCAUGGAUAAUACGCGGGCAUAAGCAUAUAACCGAAGCUAUGGGAUUGUAGAUGAUACAAUCGGUAGGAGAGCAUUCCAUUCAGCGUAGAAGCAGUAUCGUGAGGUAUUGUGGAGCGGAUGGAAAAGCAAAUGUAGGCAUAAGUAACGAUAAUGCGGGUGAGAACCCCGCACGCCGAAAGAUCAAGGAUUCCCCGGCAAUGUCAAUCAUCCGGGGGUAAGUCGGAUCCUAAGGGUAAGCCGAGUGGCGAUCCCGAUGGCAAACAGGUUAAUAUUCCUGUACUGAUCAUAACUGCGAUGCAGCGACGCAGAGGUGACACUGCUGCGUACUGACGGAAUAGUACGUUGAAACCCGUAUUCUUUGAUACCGGUAGUGAAGCACGCCGGUAGAGAUGAAAGGUGAUAGUACCGCAAUGCUUCGGUUGCGCGGAUAACGCAGGUAAGCUGACUGCCAAGAAAACCUGCUAAGCUUCAGGUAAUGAUCAUCCGUACUGUAAACGGACACACGUGAUCAGGUAGAAAAUACUAAGGCGCUCGAGAGAUUCAUGGUUAAGGAACUAGGCAAAAUGGUCCUGUAACUUCGGGAUAAAGGACGCUCUUGUGAAAGAGCCGCAGAUAAUAGGCCCAGGCGACUGUUUACCAAAAACACAUGGCUAUGCUAAUUCGCAAGAAGAUGUAUAUGGCCUGACACCUGCCCGGUGCCGGAAGGUUAAGAGGAGAGCUCAGAGGCAACUCGAAGGUUUGAAUUGAAGCCCCGGUAAACGGCGGCCGUAACUAUAACGGUCCUAAGGUAGCGAAAUUCCUUGUCGGGUAAGUUCCGACCUGCACGAAUGGUGUAACGAUCUGGGUACUGUCUCAACCAUGAGCUCGGUGAAAUUGUAGUUCCGGUGAAGAUGCCGGAUACCCGCAACGGGACGGAAAGACCCCGUGAACCUUUACUGCAGCUUUGCAUUGAUUUUGGGUAACAGAUGUGUAGGAUAGGUCGGAGGCUUUGAUGCUGCGUCGUCAGGCGUAGAGUAGCCGUCGUUGAAAUACGACCCUUUUGUUAUCUGAGGUCUAAUCCCGUUAGGGAGACAUUGCAUGGUGGGUAGUUUGACUGGGGUGGUCGCCUCCAAAAGUGUAACGGAGGCUUCUCAAGGUACCCUCAAGGCGUUUGGUAAUCGUCUGCAGAGUGCAAUGGCAUAAGGGUGCUUGACUGUGAGACCGACACGUCGAUCAGGUUGGAAACAAGAGCAUAGUGAUCCGGUGGUUCCGCAUGGAAGGGCCAUCGCUCAAAGGAUAAA
RNAcentral lists this ribosomal RNA (1343 nucleotides) under human metagenome. RNAcentral describes it as "bacterial LSU rRNA". It matches the Rfam family "Bacterial large subunit ribosomal RNA", at positions 1100 to 2460 of the family's 2925-position model. The record is from RNAcentral.